CAGGGGUUCACGGCAGUCGUUUUCUUCCGUUUGCUUGUGUCUUUGGAAUAAAACGUCCAAAAAUGGGAUGUAUGGAAUCUUGCUAUAGGAGUUCCCAACUUACAGCGAUGACGUUCAAGGAAGAAUAUCAAGAGCCCUUAAGAGACUUCUAUUUACUCUACGAAGUUAUUGAUAAAACCCUCAUUUUUUAGUCAAGAUUGCAAAGAAAAUUCAUUUCAGUUCUACAUUUGGUGCCAAGCGUUGUUAGUUGCAGAUAAAUAAGAUAGAAUCCAGCUCUUAAGAAAUUCAAUCUAGUGGAAAAAAACAUAAAUAUUUGCAGUUAAUUUUUUAGGCGUCAGGCACUGUGCUAAGUACUCUCAUUGGUGACCUUGAUUUUUACCCUCUUAAUCUCCAUGUGCUCCCCCUUCCCAAAUACACUCCAAGUAAAUAUAAAAUC
RNAcentral lists this long non-coding RNA (436 nucleotides) under Homo sapiens (human). RNAcentral's name for it is "HSALNT0086245". The record is from RNAcentral. Lineage: Eukaryota; Metazoa; Chordata; Mammalia; Primates; Hominidae.